This 161-nucleotide unclassified non-coding RNA is filed under the name uncultured Ascomycota. Its description in RNAcentral is "sequence contains ITS1". Lineage: Eukaryota; Fungi; Ascomycota. The record is from RNAcentral.
CAGUGUUCGCUGCCCUCGCGGGUAGCAAACCUCACCCUUGUGUAUUAUAUCUAUGUUGCUUUGGCACGCCGCCUUCGGGCGCUGGCUUUUAGCUGGCUUGCGCGUGUCAGAGGCCUUCAAACUCUAAAUGUUAGUGUCGUCUGAGUACUAUCUAAUAGUUA